AAUAAGAUAGGAUAAUUUUUAGUCCGAGAGGUCCAUACCCUCUAGGUGUUUUCUCUUGUUG
RNAcentral lists this transfer RNA (61 nucleotides) under Anisakis simplex (herring worm). RNAcentral's name for it is "tRNA-Met". The record is from RNAcentral. Lineage: Eukaryota; Metazoa; Nematoda; Chromadorea; Rhabditida; Anisakidae.